AAGCAGCGGAACUAAUUGAACUGAUUGCGCACACAUGCAAAGACCCGGUUUCAUUGGGAAACCACAAAGCAGACAAGGCCACUAACCAGGCCGCACUACAACAACCAUCUGACACAUACACAAUUGAAGAAUUAGAUCUCACAAUACUAAAAGAUAUGCUGCAAUAUUGAGCCAUGGUGAAAACAUGCCUCAAUAAGUGGGGAUAGAACCUGUGAGGCUGAAACCAAGGUUGGGCCAGGAGAUUGGGUCCUAAUCAACAGCCUCCAAAGAAAACACUGCCACUUGCCCAAGUGGGACAGACCCUACAAAGUGCUACUGUCAACAUCUACCACAGUCAAAAUAGCGGAGAGAGCCACCUGGAUACAUCUAACACAUUGUAAACGAGUAAGCCUUCCUUAGAAAGAGACAGAGUAUAGGAGCUGUCUUCCUCUACAGUUUUCCAAGGCCGGAACACUGUGACAGAAGUCCAGCUACAAAGGGGAUUCUUUGCGUUAGGCAAUUUUUUGUCUCAAACCUGGUGAAGAAAACUACACUGUCCAGUGGGGUAAAAGAGCCAAGUGGAUACUGGGAGGGCGGGGCAGUCCUAUCUCUGUGAAGUCAUGGGGAGUUACAAGGGAAAAAUGAAACAAUGUGUGGAACUUUUGAUAAUAACUGUACUGCUCUACAUUUUGGUACUGUUAACAUAUUGAUCACAACAGGCACCGGUCUUGGUCAAAUGUCCGCGAUGGGGCCUACCUAAAGAUCAUCCGUGGUGAUGGGAAAACCAGACUGCCCAAACACACUUUCCACAAAGAGACUGUUUACAUUUUCCUGCCCAGUAAUAUUCAACAGCCGAUGUGAUCUGCAGAAUGCCUGAUGGGGAACAGGGCCUUCAAGGACACAGCAAAGAGGCCUUGUUUGAAUGUUAUCUGAAGCCUAGGCGAGCUAAUGACACACACACACACACACACACACACACACACACACACACACACACACACACACACACACUCACACUCGACACCCACUAUGUUGGCCUACAAAUGCAAAGUAUACAAAUGUGUGAUGUGAAAUAUGAUGAUUGACUUAUGAUGAGAUGAAAUAAUGCUCAGUAAUGAUCUCUGUUCCGAAAAUCCAUGUGAUGAAGCUCAGAG
Molecule: long non-coding RNA, 1133 nt
Organism: Clupea harengus (Atlantic herring)
Lineage: Eukaryota; Metazoa; Chordata; Actinopteri; Clupeiformes; Clupeidae
Source: Ensembl